UUUGUGCCGACACGUGUUUGUGGUAGGUGAGUUCCGUCGGACCACGUUAGGGGCACAGCAGACCGCAGGCGGAGGAACCGAAGAGGAGUAUUUGUGCAGCCUGGAGGUUUCGAAUGCCCAAAACAUGGUUUCAAGCGCCCGAAAACGCCCGUUUCUCCUGGGACAGCAGUUGAAGCUUGAGGACUGCAGUAUCAGCAGAAUUCCAGCAGCGACCUUUGGCGUUUUGGCUCGUGUGCAACGUAGGAAAGUCAGAUUGCUGCGAAAUUUGAUUUGGUGGUUAACUGACUGCUUGGAGGUUUCGUGGAACCUAUUUUGACAGACAUUGAUUGAGGGAGCUGGAAUUGCAACCUUAGAUUGAUACUCCAUCAUAGUCACUGGUUUUGGAACCCUACUUCACCAGAUUUGAAGCUUGGAAG
Ananas comosus (pineapple) is the source of this 416-nucleotide long non-coding RNA. RefSeq lists it as uncharacterized. The transcript is spliced from 3 exons. Lineage: Eukaryota; Viridiplantae; Streptophyta; Magnoliopsida; Poales; Bromeliaceae. The record is from RefSeq and is a predicted model, not a curated record.